RNAcentral lists this non-coding RNA (79 nucleotides) under uncultured Ruminococcus sp. RNAcentral describes it as "Cyclic di-GMP-I riboswitch". It matches the Rfam family "c-di-GMP-I riboswitch aptamer", at positions 6 to 83 of the family's 87-position model. Rfam says of the family: GEMM was predicted in a large-scale screen for bacterial structured RNA regulatory elements. Genes associated with GEMM are involved in a diverse array of functions, including chemotaxis regulation, signal transduction, secretion and chitin. The record is from RNAcentral. Lineage: Bacteria; Bacillati; Bacillota; Clostridia; Eubacteriales; Oscillospiraceae.
AUAAUAGGGCAAAGCCGUUGAAAAGCGGUGACGCAAAGCUCAGGUGUCUAAACAGUAUACUAUAUGACAGACCGGCUGC